AUGCUAGUUUCAUCAGAAACCAUGCAGCCCCUUCAAUUUUCAAACAAGACACACAACAACAAAUUGUACAUACCUUCCCUUGGCCUCACUCUUGUGCUGCUGAUCUCCUUGGCCUCUCCCGCAAGUUCCUGCACGGAGCAGGAGAAGACCUCCCUUCUCCAGUUCCUCACCGAGCUCUCAUGGGACAGUGGUCUUGCCGCUUCAUGGCAGAACAACACGGAUUGCUGCAAGUGGGAAGGGAUCAUCUGCAGGCAAGAUAGGAUGGUUGCCAAAGUCAUGCUGGCUUCAAAAGGCCUAGAGGGGCACAUCUCGGAGUGCCUUGGAAACCUCACCAGGCUGCAGUAUCUUAACCUCUCUCACAACUCGCUGUCUGGUGGUCUGCCGCUGGAAUUGGUGUCGUCCAGCAGCAUCACCGUCCUUGAUGUCAACUUUAACCAGCUCAAUGGAACACUCCACGAGUUGCCAUCUUCAACCCCUGCUCAACCCCUGCAGGUACUGAACAUCUCAAGCAACCUAUUUGCAGGACAGUUUCCAUCCACCACAUGGAAAGCAAUGGAGAAUCUGAUAGCACUCAACACAAGUAAUAACAGCUUUACAGGGCAGAUACCAACUCAUUUCUGUAGCAGUUCACGAUCCCUCGUUGUGCUAAAUCUAUGCUUAAACAAAUUCAGUGGCAACAUCCUGCAGAAACUUGGUAAUUGCUCCAAGCUGAGAGAGCUCAGGGCCGGCUACAACAAUCUCAGUGGAACACUUCCAGAUGAACUCUUCAAUACUGCCACACUGGAGCACCUGUCUUUUCGUAACAAUGAUUUACAUGGAGCUAUUGAUAGCACACGCACAACCAACCUCAGAAAUCUUGUAACUCUUGAUCUUGGAGGGAACAGAUUUGGUGGAAAGAUUCCAGAUUCGAUAGGCCAGCUCAAGAAGUUGGAGGAGUUCCAUUUGGACAACAACAAAUUCUCAGGGGAGUUGCCAUCAGCUCUAAGCAACUGCACGAAUCUCGUAGCAAUUGAUCUCAAGAAAAACAAUUUCAGUGGACAGCUCGCCAAGGUCAAUUUCUCCAACCUGCCAAAUCUAAAGACAUUAGAUGUUUACUUCAACAGCUUCACCGGCACAGUUCUAGAAAGCAUAUACUCUUGCAGCAAUCUAACUGCACUGCGGGUAUCUACCAACAAAUUAACAGGGCAGCUUUCACCAAGAUUAAUUGAUCUGAAGUACCUCACCUUCCUAUCACUUACCACAAACUCCUUCAUAAAUAUUGCAAAUGCACUUCACAUCCUUAAGAGCUGCAGGAACCUUACCACUCUACUUAUCGGCAGUAACUUCAAGGGAGAGCUCAUGCCAGAUGACAACACAAUUGAUGGUUUCGAGAAUCUUCACGUUUUGGACAUCGAAAGUUGUAAAUCAUUUGGAGGAAUACCUCUUUGGAUAUCAAAGCUUCGAAAACUAGAGGUGCUAAUCUUAUCUGAAAAUCAACUCAGCGGAUCAGUACCAGCCUGGAUCCAAACACUAAGUGACCUGUUCUAUCUAGACAUAUCAAACAAUAACCUCACAGGGGAAAUUCCAACAACACUGAUGGAUAUGCCAAUGCUGAAGUCAGAGAAGAAUGAAGCCCAUUUGGACCCAAGGGUCUUCGAGCUACCUAUUUAUGCAGCUCCAUCACUUCAAUACUGGGUUCCCAUGGCUUUGCGUAAAGUUCUUGAUCUAAGCAACAAUAAACUCACCGGUGAGAUCCCCAUGGAGAUCGGUCAGUUGAAAUCCCUCCUUUCACUCGACUUAAGCUUCAACCACUUGACAGGACACAUCCCACAAUCGAGUUGCAACCUCACAAACUUGCAGAUGCUAGACUUGUCCAAUAACAACCUCACAGUUGCUAUCCCAGUUGCACCGAACGCCCUGCACUUCCUUUCAGCAUUCAACAUUUCAAACAAUAACCUGGAAGGGCCUAUUCCAUCUGGAGGCCAAUUUGAUACGUUUCAGAAUUCUAGUUUCGAUGGGAACCCAAAGCUGUGUGGCUCUGUCCUCACUCACAAAUGCGAUUCAGCAGAAGCACAUCAAGCCAUCAUUCUGUCAAGAAAACCAACUGACUGCAAGGUGGCCUUUGUGAUUGCCUUCAAUGCUUUCUUUGGUGUAGGCGUGUUGUAUGAUCAGUUAGUCUUAGCAAGGUAUUUUAGCUAG
RNAcentral lists this ribosomal RNA (2178 nucleotides) under Triticum aestivum (bread wheat). RNAcentral's name for it is "partial small subunit ribosomal RNA". The record is from RNAcentral. Lineage: Eukaryota; Viridiplantae; Streptophyta; Magnoliopsida; Poales; Poaceae.